UUUAACGGGCCGCGGUACCCUAACCGUGCGAAGGUAGUACAAUCAUUUGUUCCUUAAAUAGGGACUCGUAUCAACGGCAUCACGAGGGUUGCACUGUCUCCCCCCUCCAAUCAGUGAAACUGAUCUCCCCAUGAAAAAGCGGGGAUAACAUUAUAAGACGAGAAGACCCCAUGGAGCUUUAAACCCAAUAGCAACUUAGUAAAAAUUCCUUCUAGCUACAAAAUUAUGCUAACGGCUUUUGGUUGGGGCGACCGCGGAGUAAAAACUAACCUCCACAACGAAAAGAUUUAAAUCUUUACCCAAGAGCUACUACUCUAAGAAUUAGAAAACUAACGUACUGACCCGAUUCGAUCAAUGAACCAAGUUACCCUGGGGAUAACAGCGCAAUCUACUUCAAGAGUCCAUAUCGACAAGUAGGCUUACGACCUCGAUGUUGGAUCAGGGUAUCCCAGUGGUGCAGCCGCUACUGAAGGUUCGUUUGUUCAACGAUUAAAACCCUAC
This 501-nucleotide ribosomal RNA is filed under the name Raorchestes graminirupes. RNAcentral's name for it is "partial large subunit ribosomal RNA". It matches the Rfam family "Bacterial large subunit ribosomal RNA", at positions 1922 to 2599 of the family's 2925-position model. Lineage: Eukaryota; Metazoa; Chordata; Amphibia; Anura; Rhacophoridae. The record is from RNAcentral.